This 210-nucleotide long non-coding RNA is filed under the name Carica papaya (papaya). RNAcentral's name for it is "long non-coding RNA (CPAP_LNC003611)". The record is from RNAcentral. Lineage: Eukaryota; Viridiplantae; Streptophyta; Magnoliopsida; Brassicales; Caricaceae.
UUCCCCCAAAUGGGGUUGGGGGAACAUAUAUUCUUCAAAGAUAAAAAGUCUACCGAGACACUUGAUGCAUUAUGGAUGUCAAUACAAAUACAUACUUUAGACCAUUCAUGCUUCAUUUCAUUUUUCUUUUUUUGCGCGUGCAGGACCUUGGCACGCUGGGCACUGUGCGCAGGGCAUACCUGUGCAGACCUGCUGUGUGGAUGGCGUGUG